This 45-nucleotide non-coding RNA is filed under the name Myxococcales bacterium. Its description in RNAcentral is "Guanidine-II sequence". It matches the Rfam family "Guanidine-II riboswitch aptamer (mini-ykkC)". Rfam says of the family: Simpler in structure and has fewer highly conserved nucleotide positions than the ykkC-yxkD leader. Despite this each of its two stem-loop structures directly bind free guanidine. Lineage: Bacteria; Pseudomonadati; Myxococcota; Myxococcia; Myxococcales. The record is from RNAcentral.
UCAGCGGGACGACCCGCUGCGACAGGCCGCUCAGGGGACGACCCC